GAAAUGCGAUAAUUAAUGUGAAUUGCAGAAUUCAGUGAAUCAUCGAGUAUUUGAACGCACAUUGCGCCCCCUGGUAUUCCGGGGGGCAUGCCUGUCCGAGCGUCAUUGCUGCCCUCAAGCACGGCUUGUGUGUUGGGCUUCCGUCCCUGGCAACGGGGACGGGCCCAAAAGGCAGUGGCGGCACCAUGUCUGGUCCUCGAGCGUAUGGGGCUUUGUCACCCGCUCCCGUAGGUCCAGCUGGCAGCUAGCCUCGCAACCAAUCUUUUUAACCAGGUUGACCUCGGCUCAGGUAGGGAUACCCGCUGAACUUAAGC
Molecule: unclassified non-coding RNA, 314 nt
Filed under: plant metagenome
Description: partial contains 5.8S ribosomal RNA, internal transcribed spacer 2, and large subunit ribosomal RNA
Rfam family: 5.8S ribosomal RNA (bases 1-105)
Source: RNAcentral